Molecule: antisense RNA, 75 nt
Filed under: Nocardia amikacinitolerans
Lineage: Bacteria; Bacillati; Actinomycetota; Actinomycetes; Mycobacteriales; Nocardiaceae
Description: Nocardia sp. W9988 ASpks TB sRNA
Rfam family: ASpks TB sRNA
Source: Rfam by way of RNAcentral
UUUCAGCGACCCGAGCCACAGCGGCCGCCGCGGAUCACGGUCUUGUCCGUAGGUGGCGAGCAGGGCGUGUGCUUC